Long non-coding RNA from Diospyros lotus (date-plum), 331 nucleotides. RefSeq lists it as uncharacterized. The transcript has 2 exons. The record is from RefSeq and is a predicted model, not a curated record. NCBI's taxonomy places the organism in Eukaryota, Viridiplantae, Streptophyta, Magnoliopsida, Ericales, Ebenaceae.
CCCUCCCAACGUGGCCGUCUCUUCCCUUGACACCACAACAAACCACCACGCCUUCUCUCUCCUGCUCUUUGCGGCAACUUAUAUUACCAUCGGCGCCGCCCCCGCCGGCCACUGUACUCCGUCGAGACGACAGACUCUCGUUGUCUCCAUUGUCAAGUCAUUCCGCUGCGCCAACUCCGUGCACCCAUAACACGUCAUGCCUUUUAUUUGCUCGAUUAUCGAGUGCGCGGGGAUGCGAGAUCUCUUUACAGGUUCAACUGUUUAAGAAUUUCGGAGAUCUCUUUACAGGUUCAACUGUUUAAGAAUUUCGGAGAUCUCUAUCGCCUUGUGG